GACGUAGGGCGCGAGCGUUGUCCGGAUUUAUUGGGCGUAAAGAGCUCGUAGGCGGCUCGUUGCGUCGGCUGUGAAAACCCGCAGCUCAACUGUGGGCUUGCAGCCGAUACGGGCGGGCUUGAGUUCGGUAGGGGAGACUGGAAUUCCUGGUGUAGCGGUGAAAUGCGCAGAUAUCAGGAGGAACACCAAUGCGAAGGCAGCUCGCUGGGACGUGACUGACGCUAG
Molecule: ribosomal RNA, 225 nt
Filed under: uncultured bacterium
Lineage: Bacteria
Description: partial 16S ribosomal RNA
Rfam family: Bacterial small subunit ribosomal RNA
Source: RNAcentral